UUUUAACUGGUAUUUGGGUCCAUUAAUUCACAUUUGCUGUGUUUGAUUCUUUGCACCCUUCAGAGUGGUCCUCUUCUUGUUGUUUGAGGAUAUUUUAUCCUUGUAUGAAAGUUAAAAGUCUACAGUUUGCUCUGGCGUACAUUAACAUAGGACUACCUGUGGUUGUUCAGAUCUGAACUUAUUUACGUUUGGGGAGAGUUAUUUUACAAUUACUCUUGCUAUUAUUUUGAUGAUGUUAAUGAAAGUCACGUGACAGGAGAGACAUGGUGGUGACAUAAAUAGUUUUCUAGCCAUUUUGAUUCGUCAUAAUUCCCACUUGCUUUUAACCUUGGCCUAGUAUUUUAUAAUGGGUUAAUGGGUCUAUAUUUGUUGUAUUUGGACUCCCAACAUU
This is a long non-coding RNA of Haliotis rubra (blacklip abalone), 391 nucleotides long. RefSeq lists it as uncharacterized. NCBI's taxonomy places the organism in Eukaryota, Metazoa, Mollusca, Gastropoda, Lepetellida, Haliotidae. The transcript has 2 exons. The record is from RefSeq and is a predicted model, not a curated record.